GGGAGGGACUGCUUAAUUUGCUGAAGUUAGCCUGCUUUCUCCCUGUCUGGCUUCAGCUGCCCAACUACGAUUGGAGUUAUCUGGAUUUGCCAUCAGACAAUGCCUGCCCUAUGCAAGAGCCAUCAAGCCCAAAAGGAAGGAGAAUGGAUGAGAAGAAUUAAAGACACGCUGUGGCUGAGCCAAGAGAGAACUUCCCCUUGAUGUAAUCAGCAAAUAAGAAAGUUUAGAUGUGUGACUAUGGACAUCUAUCUCUUUGGACAUCAAAAUGUUUUCUACAAGAAAGUACCAGACACCUGUUCAGUAAGACCCAGCCCACUGUUUGAUGCAGCUUUGAGCAGCUAGAGGAGGAAGAGUUUCCCUCUACUCGCUGACGGAAAAGGAGAGGAGCAAAUAAGGAGUCAGUCAGUCAUAGCUCAGAAAGUCAACCGCACCGGAAGAGGCAGUAAAUGUUUCUUACUUUCCACGGAAGGGAUGUUUGCAUCUUCAUGAAUCCAGGGACAAAGGAAAGUGAGUGAGCAACGUGGUUUGCCAUUUGUUUUUUGAUCUGUG
Long non-coding RNA from Gorilla gorilla gorilla (western lowland gorilla), 549 nucleotides. RefSeq lists it as uncharacterized. NCBI's taxonomy places the organism in Eukaryota, Metazoa, Chordata, Mammalia, Primates, Hominidae. The transcript is spliced from 3 exons. The record is from RefSeq and is a predicted model, not a curated record.